RNAcentral lists this ribosomal RNA (301 nucleotides) under uncultured bacterium. RNAcentral describes it as "partial 16S ribosomal RNA". It matches the Rfam family "Bacterial small subunit ribosomal RNA", at positions 509 to 807 of the family's 1533-position model. The record is from RNAcentral.
CAGCCGCCGCGGUAAUACAGAGGGUGCGAGCGUUAAUCGGAUUUACUGGGCGUAAAGCGUGCGUAGGCGGCUUUUUAAGUCGGAUGUGAAAUCCCUGAGCUUAACUUAGGAAUUGCAUUCGAUACUGGGAAGCUAGAGUAUGGGAGAGGAUGGUAGAAUUCCAGGUGUAGCGGUGAAAUGCGUAGAGAUCUGGAGGAAUACCGAUGGCGAAGGCAGCCAUCUGGCCUAAUACUGACGCUGAGGUACGAAAGCAUGGUGAGCAAACAGGAUUAGAUACCCGAGUAGUCCCUGUCUCUUAUAC